AGGUGCGAUCAUACCAGCACUAAUGCACAGGAUCCCAUCAGAACUCUGCAGUUAAGCGUGCUUGGGCGAGAGUAGUACUAGGAUGGGUGACCUCCUGGGAAGUCCUUGUGUUGCACCUCUUUUUGCCAAAAUUUUACGUCGUUUUUGAAAAAUAAACUUCGAUUGUAUUUCAUUUUUUCCGUUAAUUUACGCAACCUAAAACUCUAUUCGUUAAUUAGCGUAGUUUGACGUCUUUUUUGAAAAAUAAACUUAGAAAUGCAUAUAUACAAUUACAACGCUUUACUCUCAGGUGCGAUCAUACCAGCACUAAUGCACCGGAUCCCAUCAGAACUCCGCAGUUAAGCGUGCUUGGGCGAGAGUAGUACUAGGAUGGGUGACCUACUAGGAAGUCCUUGCGUUGCACCUCUUUUUGCCAAAUUUUUUUGUUCUUUUUGUUAAUUAGCGUAAUUUUACGUCGUUAUUGAAAAAUAAACUUCGAUUGUAUUUAAUUUUGUUCCGUUAAUUUACGCAACCUAAAACUCUAUUAGUUAAUUAGCGUAGUUUGAUGUAUUUUUUGAAAAAUAAACUUAGAAAUGCAUAUAUACAAUUACAACGCUUUACUCUCAGGUGCGAUCAUACCAGCAUUAAUGCUUCGGAUCCCAUCAGAACUCCGCAGUUAAGCGUGCUUGGUCGAGAGUAGUACUAGGACGGGUGACCUCCUAGGAAGUCCUUGUGUUGCACCUCUUUUUGCCAAAAUUUUACGUCGCUUUUGAAAAAUAAACUUCGAUUGUAUUUCAUUUUUUCCGUUAAUUUACGCAACCUAAAACUCUAUUCGUUAAUUAGCGUAGUUUGACGUCUUUUUUGAAAAAUAAACUUAGAAAUGCAUAUAUACAAUUACAACGCUUUACUCUCAGGUGCGAUCAUACCAGCAUUAAUGCUUCGGAUCCCAUCAGAACUCCGCAGUUAAGCGUGCUUGUUUGAGAGUAGUACUAGGACGGGUGACCUCCUAGGAAGUCCUUGUGUUGCACCUCUUUUUGCCAAAAUUUUACGUCGCUUUUGAAAAAUAAACUUCGAUUGUAUUUCAUUUUUUCCGUUAAUUUACGCAACCUAAAACUCUAUUCGUUAAUUAGCGUAGUUUGACGUCUUUUUUGAAAAAUAAACUUAGAAAUGCAUAUAUACAAUUACAACGCUUUACUCUCAGGUGCGAUCAUACCAGCACUAAUGCACCGGAUCCCAUCAAAACUCCGCAGUUAAGCGUGCUUGGGCGAGAGUAGUACUAGGAUGGGUGACCUACUAGGAAGUCCUUGCGUUGCACCUCUUUUUGCCAAAAUUUCUUGUUCUAUUUGUUAAUUAGCGUAAUUUUACGUCGUUUUUGAAAAAUAAACUUCGAUUGUAUUUCAUUUUUUUCCGUUAAUUUACGCAACCUAAAACUCUAUUAGUUAAUUAGCGUAGUUUGACGUCUUUUUUGAAAAAUAAACUUAGAAAUGCAUAUAUACAAUUACAACGCUUUACUCUCAGGUGCGAUCAUACCAGCACUAAUGCACAGGAUCCCAUCAGAACUCUGCAGUUAAGCGUGCUUGGGCGAGAGUAGUACUAGGAUGGGUGACCUCCUGGGAAGUCCUUGUGUUGCACCUCUUUUUGCCAAAAUUUUACGUCGUUUUUGAAAAAUAAACUUCGAUUGUAUUUCAUUUUUUCCGUUAAUUUACGCAACCUAAAACUCUAUUCGUUAAUUAGCGUAGUUUGACGUCUUUUUUGAAAAAUAAACUUAGAAAUGCAUAUAUACAAUUACAACGCUUUACUCUCAGGUGCGAUCAUACCAGCACUAAUGCACCGGAUCCCAUCAGAACUCCGCAGUUAAGCGUGCUUGGGCGAGAGUAGUACUAGGAUGGGUGACCUACUAGGAAGUCCUUGCGUUGCACCUCUUUUUGCCAAAAUUUCUUGUUCUUUUUGUUAAUUAGCGUAAUUUUACGUCGUUAUUGAAAAAUAAACUUCGAUUGUAUUUAAUUUUUUUCCGUUAAUUUACGCAACCUAAAACUCUAUUAGUUAAUUAGCGUAGUUUGAUGUAUUUUUUGAAAAAUAAACUUAGAAAUGCAUAUAUACAAUUACAACGCUUUACUCUCAGGUGCGAUCAUACCAGCAUUAAUGCUUCGGAUCCAUCAGAACUCCGCAGUUAAGCGUGCUUGGUCGAGAGUAGUACUAGGACGGGUGACCUCCUAGGAAGUCCUUGUGUUGCACCUCUUUUUGCCAAAAUUUUAUGUCGCUUUUGAAAAAUAAACUUCGAUUGUAUUUCAUUUUUUCCGUUAAUUUACGCAACCUAAAACUCUAUUCGUUAAUUAGCGUAGUUUGACGUCUUUUUUGAAAAAUAAACUUAGAAAUGCAUAUAUACAAUUACAACGCUUUACUCUCAGGUGCGAUCAUACAGCACUAAUGCACCGGAUCCCAUCAAACUCCGCAGUUAAGCGUGCUUGGGCGAGAGUAGUACUAGGAUGGGUGACCUACUAGGAAGUCCUUGCGUUGCACCUCU
RNAcentral lists this long non-coding RNA (2503 nucleotides) under Medicago truncatula (barrel medic). The record is from RNAcentral. Lineage: Eukaryota; Viridiplantae; Streptophyta; Magnoliopsida; Fabales; Fabaceae.